UACGUAGGGUGCGAGCGUUAAUCGGAAUUACUGGGCGUAAAGCGUGCGCAGGCGGUUUGCUAAGACAGGUGUGAAAUCCCCGGGCUUAACCUGAGAACUGCGCUUGUGACUGGCAGGCUAGAGUACGGUAGAGGGGGGUGGAAUUCCUGGUGUAGCAGUGAAAUGCGUAGAUAUCAGGAGGAACACCGAUGGCGAAGGCAGCCCCCUGGGCCUGUACUGACGCUCAUGCACGAAAGCGUGGGGAGCAAACAGGAUUAGAUACCCG
Molecule: ribosomal RNA, 265 nt
Filed under: uncultured prokaryote
Description: partial 16S ribosomal RNA
Rfam family: Bacterial small subunit ribosomal RNA
Source: RNAcentral